GUUGCGGUGGCCGAGCGGUUAAGGCGUUGGACUAAAAUCCAAUGGGAUCUUCCCGCGCAGGUUCGAAUCCUGCCCGCAACG
Molecule: transfer RNA, 81 nt
Filed under: Nematostella vectensis (starlet sea anemone)
Lineage: Eukaryota; Metazoa; Cnidaria; Anthozoa; Actiniaria; Edwardsiidae
Rfam family: tRNA
About the family: Transfer RNA (tRNA) molecules are approximately 80 nucleotides in length. Their secondary structure includes four short double-helical elements and three loops (D, anti-codon, and T loops).
Source: Rfam by way of RNAcentral